GUGAUCAAAUCUACACUUGAACAGUCUCCACACUACAUCCUAAAUAGGCCAAGAGGGGUUAAAUGUUCUACGUACCUCAGCUUCUCGGACCCCAAAUCAGAGAUAGUAAUGCCUAACCACAAAUUACUUGUGUGACAUUCCUAACUCCAAAAGGGUCUCCACUAAGUAUGGAUCUCAAGCUAACUUGGUAAGGUCUACUCCACACAAGUCGAACAUGACUAUACCAUCCUCCUGUAUUAAUUUCACUCAAGUUCCAGUUAGAACUUAUCUCACCACUCAGAAAUCAC
RNAcentral lists this long non-coding RNA (287 nucleotides) under Lathyrus oleraceus (garden pea). RNAcentral's name for it is "Pisum sativum (pea) long non-coding RNA (PSAT_LNC030433)". Lineage: Eukaryota; Viridiplantae; Streptophyta; Magnoliopsida; Fabales; Fabaceae. The record is from RNAcentral.